RNAcentral lists this ribosomal RNA (445 nucleotides) under uncultured bacterium. RNAcentral describes it as "partial 16S ribosomal RNA". It matches the Rfam family "Bacterial small subunit ribosomal RNA", at positions 354 to 796 of the family's 1533-position model. The record is from RNAcentral.
GUAGGGAAUAUUGGGCAAUGGAAGGAAUUCUGACCCAGCCAUGCCGCGUGCAGGAAUACAGUCCUAUGGACUUUAAACUGCUUUUAUUAUAGAGUAACCUGGGGGACGUGUCCCCCACUGCAAGUAUAUAAUGAAUAAGCAUCGGCUAACUCCGUGCCAGCAGCCGCGGUAAUACGGGGGAUGCAAGCGUUAUCCGGAUUUAUUGGGUUUAAAGGGUGCGCAGGCUGAUCGGUAAGUCAUGGGUGAAAAGUCACUGCUUAACAGUGAUCGUGCCUAUGAUACUGCCGGACUAGAGUUUAAGAGGUGUAACUGGAAUGUGAUGUGUAGCAGUGAAAUGCUUAGAUAUGUCACAGAACGCCAAUCGUGAAGACAGGUUACAAACUUAAUACUGACGCUCAUGCACGAAAGCGUGGGGAUCAAACAGGAUUAGAAACCCGAGUAGUCC